This 459-nucleotide ribosomal RNA is filed under the name uncultured bacterium. RNAcentral's name for it is "bacterial SSU rRNA". It matches the Rfam family "Bacterial small subunit ribosomal RNA", at positions 9 to 451 of the family's 1533-position model. The record is from RNAcentral.
GAGUUUGAUCCUGGCUCAGAACGAACGCUGGCGGCGUGCCUGAGACAUGCAAGUCGUGGGAGAAAGUUGGGGCAACCCAGCGAGUAAACCGGCGCACGGGUGAGUAACACGUGGAUAACCUGCCCUGGAGACUGGGAUAACCCGUCGAAAGACGGACUAAUACCAGAUAAGACCACGGACAGUUCGCUGUCCGAGGUAAAAGGUGGCCUCUGCUCCUGCAAGCUAUCACUCCGGGAGGGGUCCGCGGCCUAUCAGCUAGUUGGCGGGGUAAUGGCCCACCAAGGCAAAGACGGGUAGCUGGUCUGAGAGGAUGGUCAGCCACACUGGGACUGAGACACGGCUCAGAGUCCUACGGGAUGCAGCAGUCAGGAAUAUUGCGCAAUGGAGGAAACUCUGACGCAGCGACGCCGCGUGGGUGAUGAAGGCCUUCGGGUCGUAAGCCUGUCGGAGGGAAGAAAG